UCCUCUUCUCCCUUUUCUUAUGCACUUUUACUAUGAGCAACAUGGCACACUAUAGUACAGAUGCACACCUACAUUACAGUGAACACACAGACGUGCACACACACACACGAUAAAAUUCACCCAGCUCCAUUGCUUAUCCUCUUUGUUUGAGCUGAUUGGAUCUGUGGCGAUCACAUGUUUACCCAGAGCUCUAUCUCUUUGAGAAACCUCCGUCACGGGUAGCGGAGAGUAACGUUUGCCUCUUUUUGUGUUUUCCUUUUAUUUUGGAGACGGGCACGCACACACGGUCUUUAUGUAUAUAUGCUAAUAGGCUGGCUAACACGGUUUCACACUGUUUGUUUCUGAAAAUGAUGCAACUUGCCAGACAUCCAUUUUUUGCUGAUGUUCACAUUUUCUUUUUUUUCUUGCCUUUCUCAGGGCGGGCAUUUUGGAGAGAGAAAAUCAGAGAGAGAGAGAGAGAGAGGAAAAGGAAGAAGAAGAGGAGAGUGGUGGAGGGUGAGAGGAGGAGGAGGAGGAGGAGGAGAAGAGGCGAAAGAGGCUCGUGUUCAAAAUCCACAAAGGUUUUGUAAUAAAUGCAUCGACGACAAUAAAAACAAAAACAUUAAAGGGAGAAAAGACGUGUUUCUGUGUUAAACAAUUAGUGCUGCAGCAUUAGAGCCGAUCAGGAAGAGACAAAAGCUCGGCAGCAGCAGGGGUUUACCCCAGACACAAAGACACAAAGACAGAUGCUCUGCAGCCCAGCCAAGCUACAGUACCAUACUAGCUUCCUCUGGAGCUGCACAGAACCACAUCCACAAUCCAACUGUCUGUGGGUCUGUCAGCGAGACAAAGAGUACCGCAAUUUAAACAGAAUUUCUACGUAACCUGCCCCUAAAGCCUCCUACAGCCUCACAAAUAGUACCUGACUGGGCUGAUCUUUUUGCCUGAUUUCAAAAUGAAACCAACAUGGCUGCUCGUUUCAAACUUUCUUCCAAGUUCUGAAAACAGCCCAGCGUGACAUGUUUCUGGGAACGGGAGGCAAGACAUAAGGCCUGCAGGUGCCGCAUCUAUCUUCAUUUUGGCUCAACAACGGCCGCUUUCGAAGUUUUUCAGAGUUUCAACGUUUCUAGAGGUUUCACACCAAGGAGGGUGUGCAAAUGAGGAGUGGGUGACAUGUUCCCCCAUUCCACGAAACGCAACGGCACGCUACCAGAAUGCACUGUAAGGCUGGAUACACGGACAAUGAAAGAUCAUCAAACAGUUUUGAAAAGGCAUCCCUUGUUAGUGAGAAAGAGAGAGACAGACAAUCUACCAGGUUUUACCACACGAACGCCACAGAGUCUCGCUGAUGAGGUUAAAAGGUAACACUUCAAUCGAGCUCUUAAUGUACACUUCAGCCACAGAAACAACACCACUUUCUCUGCCGUGGCACCUCACACUUUUCAUCUCCCACCUGUUGUUUUCAUUGGAGGAAACCCUUUAAGAUCAGAGCGACCCAACAAAAACAUCAUCUGUUUUCAUGGAUAACAGUUAGCGCUGGUUUUGAAGGGAGAGAAGCAGAUAAGAUUAUAGUGUCUAAUGAGCAAUGGCCUGAGUACAUCUACCAGGAUAUACAUGUUAGAAGAAGCAGUCUGUCUCGACUUCAUCUUCGUGAUUUUGUGUUGGAUCUCUUCCAUGAGGUUUGAGAGAAAAGAACUACAUCCUAUUAUUAAUUUUCUAUAAUCACAGUGGCUCCUGACCGCUAUGAAUAAUGUCUUAAUGUGUUUUACUUGGCUUCAUGUUUUCAAGUAUCAUUGUUUUAACACUAUCUUUGAUUAUGAAUAAUCUUCUGAUGGGUUUGUGAUGGAAAAUGCGCCAUAAGAAACAUUGGGAAAUUGUACUUUGGAAGCCAUUUAAUACCUAGUUAUGUAUUUUAAAUAAAAAAUAGUAUUAAAAAUAAGUACUGUUCCUGUGUUUUGUUUUGGUCUAAUUUCCUUUUGAAUUACAUCCACAUUGGAUGAUUAAG
Molecule: long non-coding RNA, 1984 nt
Organism: Oreochromis niloticus (Nile tilapia)
Lineage: Eukaryota; Metazoa; Chordata; Actinopteri; Cichliformes; Cichlidae
Exons: 3
Source: RefSeq, a predicted model, not a curated record